AGGUGCGAUCAUACCAGCACCAAUGCACCGAAUCCCAUCAGAACUCCGCAGCUAAUCGUGCUUGGGCGGGAAUAGUACUAGGAUGGGUGACCUCCUGGGAAGUCCUCGUGUUGCACCUC
Molecule: ribosomal RNA, 119 nt
Filed under: Lupinus angustifolius (narrow-leaved blue lupine)
Lineage: Eukaryota; Viridiplantae; Streptophyta; Magnoliopsida; Fabales; Fabaceae
Source: RNAcentral